Molecule: ribosomal RNA, 1177 nt
Filed under: uncultured organism
Description: bacterial SSU rRNA
Rfam family: Bacterial small subunit ribosomal RNA
Source: RNAcentral
UAACACGUAUGCAACCUACCCUUAACUGGGGAAUAACCCUGUGAAAGCGGGGCUAAUACCCCAUAACAUUAUGGUAAGGCAUCUUACUAUUAUCAAAGAUUUAUCGGUUAGGGAUGGGCAUGCGCCCCAUUAGUUAGUUGGUUAGGUAACGGCUAACCAAGACUGUGAUGGGUAGGGGUUCUGAGAGGAUUAUCCCCCACACUGGUACUGAGACACGGACCAGACUCCUACGGGAGGCAGCAGUAAGGAAUAUUGGGCAAUGGACGCAAGUCUGACCCAGCCAUGCCGCGUGCAGGAUGACGGCCUUAUGGGUUGUAAACUGCUUUUGUAUGGGAUUAAAGUGUUGUACGUGUACGACAAUGCAAGUACCAUACGAAUAAGCAUCGGCUAACUCCGUGCCAGCAGCCGCGGUAAUACGGAGGAUGCAAGCGUUAUCCGGAAUCAUUGGGUUUAAAGGGUGCGUAGGUUGAUUAUUAAGUCAGUGGUGAAAAUUCCGGGCUCAACCCGGGACUUGCCGUUGAAACUGAUAAUCUUGAGUGUAACUGAUGUGGGCGGAAUGUGUCAAGUAGCGGUGAAAUGCAUAGAUAUGACACAGAACACCGAUAGCGAAGGCAGCUCACAAAAUUACAACUGACACUGAGGCACGAAAGCGUGGGUAUCAAACAGGAUUAGAUACCCUGGUAGUGCACGCUGUAAACGAUGAUCACUAGCUGUUUGCGAUACAUUGUAAGUGGUUAAGCGAAAGCGAUAAGUGAUCCACCUGGGGAGUACGUCGGCAACGAUGAAACUCAAAGGAAUUGACGGGGGCCCGCACAAGCGGAGGAGCAUGUGGUUUAAUUCGAUGAUACGCGAGGAACCUUACCUGGGCUUGAACGUAUGGUGCAUGAGUGUGAAAGCACUCUUUCCUUCACAGGACUUCAUACGAGGUGCUGCAUGGUUGUCGUCAGCUCGUGCCGUGAGGUGUUAGGUUAAGUCCUGCGACGAGCGCAACCCCUGUUUUCAGUUGCCAGCAGUGUUAUGCUGGGCACUCUAGAAAGACUGCCUGCGCAAGCAGAGAGGAAGGUGGGGAUGACGUCAAAUCAGCACGGCCCUUACGUCCAGGGCUACACACCUGCUACAAUGGUCGGCACAGAGGGUGGCUACCCGGCAACGGGAUGCUAAUCUCCAAAGUCGAUCU